This is a non-coding RNA of Coturnix japonica (Japanese quail), 2262 nucleotides long. Lineage: Eukaryota; Metazoa; Chordata; Aves; Galliformes; Phasianidae. The record is from RefSeq and is a predicted model, not a curated record.
AAGUGCUUGCUGAUUGGUCUUUUGGGACACCUCCACAAAAGGUGCAAAACCUGUGGGCCAGCCUCCAUCCAACUGAGGUGGCAGGUUUUCGGGUACACACUCGGCCCCACAAUGCUGCUGCAGGCGUGCUGGGCUGUGCUCUCUCUGCUGCUGCUCUGCCAAAGCUUCUGGCUGGAGGCUGCCAGGGGUUUGGAGGAAGCAGUGAAGUGUGAAAGCAUUAAUGAAGCAACCAUCGGUCAAGAGGCAAAUUUCUCUUGCGACUUCUUGCUUCGUAUGAAUGUCUUUCAAGUAACUUGGCAGAAGAUAAACGGAUCUUCUUUCUGGAACAUAGCAACUUACAGCCAAAUCCAUGGGCUGCGACUGCAAGAAUCAUUUCAGAGGAAGGCAUGUUUCACUGUAGCAGCCCUGAACACUUCAGCCAUUGCUCUGCGAAAUCUCACAUCUGAGGAUGCAUCCUGUUACAGAUGCAUCUUCAAUGUGUUCCCUUAUGGCUCUUUCAGCAGCCCAGAUCUAUGCCUCAAAAUCCAGAAUAGUGGAAACACAAACAACAAAAUAGAAGACAAAAUGCUGGGUAUGGGUUCCACCAAUACAAGAGAAAGUGGAAACACAAACAACAAAAUAGAAGACAAAAUGCAGGUUAUAGGUUCCCCCAGUACAAGAGGUAUUUCUGGUAUUCAGAAGAGAAUAGACCUUGUGGUGUUCUUCCUAGGUGCUGUCUUAGGAACCUUGAUACUUCUCAUCGUGGGGCUAAUCAAAACAAGGAGGAGAAAACUGCAGAAACGCAGAGCGCAUCGCACACCUGAAAAGGAGGAAGGCUUACAGGAGGAUGUAAGUGAGCAAUCUGUAAGCCUGGAAACACCGAAGGUUCAAGGCAGUGCUUAUCAAAAUGAGGAGGAUCUGCUUCACAGACAUCAGCCUGUAGUUGCUGAGCCUUCAUUUUUACGUUUCUUGAAUAUGGGAGUGAUGUUUCUCUUUUUCCAGUCACCGAGAACUUCACCUGACAGCUGCAACUUAUCAAAUAUGAUGGAGAGUAGCUUGGCAACAACAUCGGUCAUCUCCCUUAGGUCCCUGGGAUGCAUGUCAUGUGGCAUCAAAAACAUGUACACAUUCAGUCUCAUGAGGUGGUCUUGGACUUGCUCUGCUGGGGUCCAGUUCUGCAGGGCUGUUUAUGGAGCAGUCACGCUAUUUGGGUAUGAAACCAGGAUGUUCCCUCACUGUCAAAUCUCCACUGCUCCAGUCAGCUGCCGGGUAGAUGGCAACAUACAUGCCUCAGCUAUGCUCUAGCAAUGCUGGUGAGUGCCUGGAGCUUGAAGGAGGAAAGCUGGCCAGCAGUUAAAUGGAAAAGCAGAUGAGGUCCUGGAAAUACCUUUCCAUGUGGGUGGGAUGUCCCUUCUGUGCAAAGGUGAUGCAACACUGCAGAGCUCAGGCUCUCUGACUGGCAGUCUUACACAGAUAUUUUCCCAGACAUGUUUGUCCUGCCCUGCUGGUCCACAUAGCUAUCAAGGUCUACUGGAGGGCUGGUGGCAUCUACAGACACAACUGAUAAGUGACUGUGGAUGCUCUUUGGUCCCAUUAGUACUUCUCUUUGACCUCCGAUGGGUUUCCUCUUUCAAGCUCUUGCUAGUCCCGUUGUCACAGUCUGAUUAUGAUAUAGCUCUUGUUUUAGCAAUAAUUUAGGGUUAGCUUCACUUAAUCCUAGGCCAUUUUAACAACAAUUCAAUGGUGCUUACUACAGCCAAAUACAAUGACUUAGUUAAGUGUUUGAGAAUGAUAAGGUUCGUCUGAAAUUUUCAUGCAGAGUAUUCUGAUGGGUGUUUGAAUUUCUUAGCAUCCCUUUCAUCAUCUCUCAUUGAAUAAUGAGAUCUGUCCCAAAAGGGACUCUAUUUCUUCAGUGUUGUAUCUCAAUAAUAGUCUGUCCCAAGUCCGGGGGAGAUGAAAGAUCACAGCAAGCUGAGGUUCCUCAAGAACUCAAGGGGUUGCUUAGGAAUCCCUUAACAGCAGGACCUUGAGAUAACUACCUUUAGUCAGAAAACUUUCCUUUCUGGCCACAGUGCAGAUGAGGCAAUUCUGGAAUCUUCUCCCAGUCGUGCAGUUCCAGUGCUCCCAGACUGUACAGUUUGGUACCUCUCAGAUCAGGCCACAGUUGAAGGAGCAGCUGUUCCAGAGGCAGACACCAGGAUCUGCACUUCUCAAAUGGCUACUGUAUCUGAGGAGAAACUGGGAAGAGUACAAAGAAAGAGAAACCUGGAAGAGAAACAAGAG